RNAcentral lists this long non-coding RNA (319 nucleotides) under Vigna radiata. RNAcentral's name for it is "long non-coding RNA (VRAD_LNC010290)". Lineage: Eukaryota; Viridiplantae; Streptophyta; Magnoliopsida; Fabales; Fabaceae. The record is from RNAcentral.
CAUCGUGAAAUUAACUUUAUUUUCUUUUUUCUCUCUAUUUAUGCACUAAUUUUAUUUCUUUUAUUUGUUAUAUUUUAAUGGUUUAUUAUUGAAACCAUGGUUCUCACGCGAUGGCCAAAAAAGUGUUUAUGAUGGAAUUUUAUUAUUUUAAAAUACAUCAAUCAUUUUUAUAUUAAUUUAAGUCUUCCCUUUUUUUUUUGUCAUAAUUUCAUUUAUUUUUAAUUUUUUUUAACUUUUAUUCUGUAUUGGGAUUUCUUUUUCUUGUUUUUAUUUUAGGAAUUAAAGUGCGAUGGGUUUUGAUAAAAUUCCGAAAAAGAAA